This 429-nucleotide ribosomal RNA is filed under the name Pseudomonadota bacterium. Its description in RNAcentral is "Proteobacteria bacterium partial 16S ribosomal RNA". It matches the Rfam family "Bacterial small subunit ribosomal RNA", at positions 355 to 776 of the family's 1533-position model. The record is from RNAcentral. Lineage: Bacteria; Pseudomonadati; Pseudomonadota.
UGGGGAAUAUUGGACAAUGGGCGAAAGCCUGAUCCAGCCAUGCCGCGUGUGUGAAGAAGGUCUUCGGAUUGUAAAGCACUUUAAGUUGGGAGGAAGGGCAGUAAGCGAAUACCUUGCUGUUUUGACGUUACCGACAGAAUAAGCACCGGCUAACUCUGUGCCAGCAGCCGCGGUAAUACAGAGGGUGCAAGCGUUAAUCGGAAUUACUGGGCGUAAAGCGCGCGUAGGUGGUUCGUUAAGUUGAAUGUGAAAGCCCCGGGCUCAACCUGGGAGCUGCAUCCAAAACUGGCGAGCUAGAGUAGGGCAGAGGGUGGGGGAAUUUCCUGGGUAGCGGUGAAAUGCGUAGAUAUAGGAAGGAACACCAGUGGCGAAGGCGACCACCUGGGCUCAUACUGACACUGAGGUGCGAAAGCGUGGGGAGCAAACAGG